GACGAACGCUGGCGGCGUGCUUAACACAUGCAAGUCGAACGGAAAGGCCCUGCUUUUGUGGGGUGCUCGAGUGGCGAACGGGUGAGUAACACGUGAGUAACCUGCCCUUGACUUUGGGAUAACUUCAGGAAACUGGGGCUAAUACCGGAUAGGAGCUCCUGCUGCAUGGUGGGGGUUGGAAAGUUUCGGCGGUUGGGGAUGGACUCGCGGCUUAUCAGCUUGUUGGUGGGGUAGUGGCUUACCAAGGCUUUGAUGGGUAGCCGGCCUGAGAGGGUGACCGGCCACAUUGGGACUGAGAUACGGCCCAGCCUCCUACGGGAGGCAGCAGUGGGGAAUAUUGCACAAUGGGCGGAAGCCUGAUGCAGCAACGCCGCGUGCGGGAUGACGGCCUUCGGGUUGUAAACCGCUUUCGCCUGUGACGAAGCGUGAGUGACGGUAAUGGGUAAAGAAGCACCGGCUAACUACGUG
This 468-nucleotide ribosomal RNA is filed under the name uncultured bacterium. RNAcentral's name for it is "partial 16S ribosomal RNA". It matches the Rfam family "Bacterial small subunit ribosomal RNA", at positions 28 to 507 of the family's 1533-position model. The record is from RNAcentral.